RNAcentral lists this ribosomal RNA (505 nucleotides) under uncultured bacterium. RNAcentral's name for it is "partial 16S ribosomal RNA". It matches the Rfam family "Bacterial small subunit ribosomal RNA", at positions 28 to 507 of the family's 1533-position model. The record is from RNAcentral.
GACGAACGCUGGCGGCGUGCCUAAUACAUGCCAGUAGAACGCACAGUUUAUACUGUAGCUUGCUACACCAUAGACUGUGAGUUGCGAACGGGUGAGUAACGCGUAGGUAACCUGCCUGGGAGCGGGGGAGAACUAUUGGAAACGAUAGCUAAUACAGCAUCAUAUUGAUUAUUGCAUGAUAAUUGAUUGAAAGAUGCUAUUGCAUCACUACCAGAUGGACCUGCAGUGUAUUAGCUAGUAGGAGAGGUAACGGCUAACCUAGGCGACGAUAGAUACCCGACCAGCGAGGGUGAUCGGCCACACUGGGACGAGGACACGGCCCAGAAUCCUACGGGAGGCAGCAGUAGGGAAUCUCCGGCAAUGGACGAAAGUCGGGACGAUGCACAACGGGGGAGUGAAGAAUGUUGUCGGGUCGUAAAGCUCUGUUAUAAGAGAAGAACGUGUGUGAGAGUGGAAAGUGCACACUGUGACGGUAGCUGAACAGAAAGGGACGGCUAACUACGUG